UGGGGAAUCUUGCGCAAUGGACGAAAGUCUGACGCAGCGACGCCGCGUGGGCGACGAAGGCCUUCGGGUUGUAAAGCCCUGUGGGGAGGGACGAACGUCAGCUGGGCUAACAUCCCGGCUGAGUGACGGUACCUCCUUAGCAAGCACCGGCUAACUCUGUGCCAGCAGCCGCGGUAAGACAGAGGGUGCAAACGUUGCUCGGAAUUACUGGGCGUAAAGCGCGUGUAGGCGGUUCCGCCAGUCUGGUGUGAAAGCCCAGGGCUCAACCCUGGAAGCGCAUUGGAUACUACGGAGCUUGAGUCCUGAAGAGGAGAGCGGAAUUCCCGGUGUAGAGGUGAAAUUCGUAGAUAUCGGGAGGAACACCAGUGGCGAAGGCGGCUCUCUGGACAGGUACUGACGCUGAGACGCGAAAGCGUGGGUAGCAAACAG
RNAcentral lists this ribosomal RNA (429 nucleotides) under uncultured bacterium. Its description in RNAcentral is "bacterial SSU rRNA". It matches the Rfam family "Bacterial small subunit ribosomal RNA", at positions 355 to 775 of the family's 1533-position model. The record is from RNAcentral.